UUUUAUGCCCCAUUUAUGGGCAUAAUGUUUUCUGGUCUAUGCGUCUGUUAGUUCGCCCGUUCGUUAGUCCCACUUUAGGUUAAAGUUUCCGGUCAAGGCAGUUUUUGAUGAAGUUGAAGUCCAAUCAACUUGAAACUCAGUGCACAUGUUCCUUAUGAUGCGAUCUUUCUAAUUUAAAUGCCAAAUUAGAGUUUUUAACUUAUGAGCAC
This 209-nucleotide long non-coding RNA is filed under the name Mytilus galloprovincialis (Mediterranean mussel). Lineage: Eukaryota; Metazoa; Mollusca; Bivalvia; Mytilida; Mytilidae. The record is from RNAcentral.